This is a non-coding RNA of Oryza glaberrima (African rice), 206 nucleotides long. The record is from Rfam. Lineage: Eukaryota; Viridiplantae; Streptophyta; Magnoliopsida; Poales; Poaceae.
AAAAAGGCAAACCCUGGAUUUGCGUGCCAAUGUUUGACUGUCCGUCUUAUAUGAAAUUUUUUUAUAAUUAGUAUUUUCAUUGUUGUUAGAUGAUAAAAUAUGAUUAAUAUUUUAUGCGUGACUUAUCUUUUAAAUUUUUUUUCAUAAUUUUUUUAAAUAAGACGGACGGUCAAACAUUGGACACGGAAAUCAGGGUUUGUCUUUUU